AUACGGAGGGUGCAAGCGUUAUUCGGAAUCACUGGGCGUAAAGGACGCGUAGGCGGGUUGGCAAGUCAGAUGUGAAAUCCUACAGCUUAACUGUAGAACUGCAUUUGAAACUGCUAACCUAGAGUAUGGGAGGGGGAGAUGGAAUUAGUGGUGUAGGGGUAAAAUCCGUAGAUAUCUCUAGGAAUACCGAAAGCGAAGGCGGUCCCCUGGAACAUAACUGACGCUAAGGCGUGAAAGCGUGGGGAGCAAACAGGAUUAGAUACCCUAGUAGUCC
Molecule: ribosomal RNA, 274 nt
Filed under: uncultured bacterium
Lineage: Bacteria
Description: partial 16S ribosomal RNA
Rfam family: Bacterial small subunit ribosomal RNA
Source: RNAcentral